RNAcentral lists this ribosomal RNA (253 nucleotides) under uncultured bacterium. Its description in RNAcentral is "partial 16S ribosomal RNA". It matches the Rfam family "Bacterial small subunit ribosomal RNA", at positions 524 to 776 of the family's 1533-position model. The record is from RNAcentral.
UACGUAGGGGGCAAGCGUUGUCCGGAAUCAUUGGGCGUAAAGAGCGCGUAGGCGGCCCUGUAAGUCCGCUGUGAAAGUCAAGGGCUCAACCCUUGGAUGCCGGUGGAUACUGCAGGGCUAGAGUCCGGAAGAGGAGAGUGGAAUUCCUGGUGUAGCGGUGAAAUGCGCAGAUAUCAGGAAGAACACCCGUGGCUAAGGCGGCUCUCUAGUACGGUACUGACGCUGAGACGCGAAAGCGUGGGGAGCGAACAGG